Molecule: transfer RNA, 74 nt
Filed under: Epinephelus coioides (orange-spotted grouper)
Lineage: Eukaryota; Metazoa; Chordata; Actinopteri; Perciformes; Serranidae
Also listed under: 10 other names
Description: tRNA-Lys
Rfam family: tRNA
About the family: Transfer RNA (tRNA) molecules are approximately 80 nucleotides in length. Their secondary structure includes four short double-helical elements and three loops (D, anti-codon, and T loops).
Source: RNAcentral
CGCUAAGAAGCUAAGCAAGGAAUAGCACUAGCCUUUUAAGCUAGAGAUUGGUGACUACCGCCCACCCUCAGCGA